AUGCCGCCCCGCUCCGCAGCGGAGUUGCAGAGCAGAGAGAUCCCGAACAGCUCCUUAGUUUCAGUUUAUUGUCAUUUGUUAUGUUACGUUCGGCGGACGAAGAAAUGUCAGCUGGCGUGCCUGGCGACCACUCUACCUCCUCCAGUCGAGAUCCGCUGCCACCAACCUCGUGUAGGGAGCUCUUUUUAUCUUCCUUUGUAUCUCUAUGGAGCAGAAGGUUUAAAUUUACCAAUGUAUGGCUCUUGUUUAUGUUCCCUAUACAUGAAUGUUCAUAAGCAAGAUAGGUGCACACGUAUAAACACUCAAGAGGUGCAUCACCGAAGGACGCAAGGCAUGCCGCUCCCAAACCUGGCUUUGUGUAUUACCUAG
RNAcentral lists this ribosomal RNA (369 nucleotides) under Triticum aestivum (bread wheat). RNAcentral's name for it is "partial small subunit ribosomal RNA". The record is from RNAcentral. Lineage: Eukaryota; Viridiplantae; Streptophyta; Magnoliopsida; Poales; Poaceae.